GACGAACGCUGGCGGCGUGCUUAACACAUGCAAGUCGAACGGAAAGGCCCUUCGGGGUACUCGAGUGGCGAACGGGUGAGUAACACGUGGGUGAUCUGCCCUGCACUUUGGGAUAAGCCUGGGAAACUGGGUCUAAUACCGAAUAGGACCACGCGCUUCAUGGUGUGUGGUGGAAAGCUUUUGCGGUGUGGGAUGGGCCCGCGGCCUAUCAGCUUGUUGGUGGGGUAAUGGCCUACCAAGGCGACGACGGGUAGCCGGCCUGAGAGGGUGACCGGCCACACUGGGACUGAGAUACGGCCCAGACUCCUACGGGAGGCAGCAGUGGGGAAUAUUGCACAAUGGGCGCAAGCCUGAUGCAGCGACGCCGCGUGAGGGAUGACGGCCUUCGGGUUGUAAACCUCUUUCAAUAGGGACGAAGCGCAAGUGACGGUACCUAUAGAAGAAGCACCGGCCAACUACGUGCCAGCAGCCGCGGUAAUACGUAGGGUGCGAGCGUUGUCCGGAAUUACUGGGCGUAAAGAGCUCGUAGGUGGUUUGUCGCGUUGUUCGUGAAAACUCACAGCUUAACUGUGGGCGUGCGGGCGAUACGGGCAGACUAGAGUACUGCAGGGGAGACUGGAAUUCCUGGUGUAGCGGUGGAAUGCGCAGAUAUCAGGAGGAACACCGGUGGCGAAGGCGGGUCUCUGGGCAGUAACUGACGCUGAGGAGCGAAAGCGUGGGGAGCGAACAGGAUUAGAUACCCUGGUAGUCCACGCCGUAAACGGUGGGUACUAGGUGUGGGUUCCUUCCUUGGGAUCCGUGCCGUAGCUAACGCAUUAAGUACCCCGCCUGGGGAGUACGGCCGCAAGGCUAAAACUCAAAGGAAUUGACGGGGGCCCGCACAAGCGGCGGAGCAUGUGGAUUAAUUCGAUGCAACGCGAAGAACCUUACCUGGGUUUGACAUGCACAGGACGCCGGCAGAGAUGUCGGUUCCCUUGUGGCCUGUGUGCAGGUGGUGCAUGGCUGUCGUCAGCUCGUGUCGUGAGAUGUUGGGUUAAGUCCCGCAACGAGCGCAACCCUUGUCCUAUGUUGCCAGCGGGUUAUGCCGGGGACUCGUAGGAGACUGCCGGGGUCAACUCGGAGGAAGGUGGGGAUGACGUCAAGUCAUCAUGCCCCUUAUGUCCAGGGCUUCACACAUGCUACAAUGGCCGGUACAAAGGGCUGCGAUGCCGUGGGGUGGAGCGAAUCCUUUCAAAGCCGGUCUCAGUUCGGAUCGGGGUCUGCAACUCGACCCCGUGAAGUCGGAGUCGCUAGUAAUCGCAGAUCAGCAACGCUGCGGUGAAUACGUUCCCGGGCCU
This 1337-nucleotide ribosomal RNA is filed under the name uncultured bacterium. RNAcentral describes it as "bacterial SSU rRNA". It matches the Rfam family "Bacterial small subunit ribosomal RNA", at positions 28 to 1381 of the family's 1533-position model. The record is from RNAcentral.